RNAcentral lists this unclassified non-coding RNA (242 nucleotides) under uncultured fungus. RNAcentral describes it as "sequence contains ITS2". Lineage: Eukaryota; Fungi. The record is from RNAcentral.
AACACCUCAAGUCAAGAAUUUAUUUUCAAGACUUGGAUUUGAGUGAUCCUAACCGAUAUAUAUUUAUAUGUAUAAUGGGCAGGUCAUUUGAAAUUCAGGUGCAGCUGAACUUUUCUUCUGAGCUAAAAGCAUUAUUUUAUUUAGUCUCCGGACUAUUACUUUUUGCUGCAGCUAACAAAAAGGAAGAGAAGUGUUGCUGACUGAUGCAGGAAUUUAUCAGUUUUUUCUUUAAAGACUGUUAG